CCCGAAAUUCCUCCCACGUCAACGGCGGAAGGUCAGAAGCUCGGUUUCUCUUGAUUCGCUUCAACCAAACCUUCGCCGUCCGCUCCAAGCAAUGAGUGGCGAGAUAGACCUUGUCCCUCUCCAAGGUGUAGAGGUCCUCGAACAAGGUCUCCAUCGAGUCCACCCACGACUCGACCAUCCAUGGCUCGACCUUCUCCCCCUCGAAGGUCGGUGGGUUGAACCUCCGAAACUUCUCGAGAGCCGCAAGCGCGCGCUCCCUCUCCGCCUCCAAUGCCG
Molecule: long non-coding RNA, 276 nt
Filed under: Ananas comosus (pineapple)
Lineage: Eukaryota; Viridiplantae; Streptophyta; Magnoliopsida; Poales; Bromeliaceae
Description: long non-coding RNA (ACOM_LNC039545)
Source: RNAcentral